RNAcentral lists this long non-coding RNA (224 nucleotides) under Homo sapiens (human). RNAcentral describes it as "HSALNT0159601". The record is from RNAcentral. Lineage: Eukaryota; Metazoa; Chordata; Mammalia; Primates; Hominidae.
CAAGAGCAGGAGAGAAAGCCAACCUAGGAUCAAUCCAAAGUUUUGCAGGAGAAACAUCAUCCAGGGUCGUUGUGUUUGAACAUGAGUCAUUUCAGGAAGCUAAAAAAAGAAUAAAAAACCAGAAUAAGAUCCAGAUAUAUUCAACUGCUGGGAAAAGCUUGGUGGGAAAACAUGAGCGACUGUUAUUCAGAACUUAAUAACCUUUAAAAUUCCCAAAACAGUUA